CCUCCCUGGUAAUGGGCAAAGAGAUACCUUGUUGGUGGUGUUGUUCUUAUAUCAGUCAGGGACAAAGCAGAUGUCAGUCCUGUCUUCAUCCUAACUUUAUGUCUGGCUUAGUGACCAAAACUGUUUUUUGCCUAGGAUACGUAA
Molecule: small nucleolar RNA, 144 nt
Organism: Psammomys obesus (fat sand rat)
Lineage: Eukaryota; Metazoa; Chordata; Mammalia; Rodentia; Muridae
Product: small nucleolar RNA SNORA48
Exons: 1
Source: RefSeq, a predicted model, not a curated record